This is a small nucleolar RNA of Schistocerca serialis cubense, 132 nucleotides long. Lineage: Eukaryota; Metazoa; Arthropoda; Insecta; Orthoptera; Acrididae. The record is from RefSeq and is a predicted model, not a curated record.
UUCCUGGCAGAUUAAAACUGUGUGCCGGACCGAGACUCGAACACGGACCCGGUUCGAGUCUCGGUCCGGCACACAGUUUUAAUUGCCAGGAAGUUUCAUAUGAGCGCACACUCCACUGCAGAGUGAAAAUCU